CCUACGGGAGGCAGCAGUAGGGAAUAUUGCUCAAUGGGGGAAACCCUGAAGCAGCAACGCCGCGUGGAGGAUGAAGGUUUUCGGAUUGUAAACUCCUUUUGUUAGGGAAGAUAAUGACGGUAUCUGACGAAGAAGCACCGGCUAACUCCGUGCCAGCAGCCGCGGUAAUACGGAGGGUGCCAGCGUUACUCGGAAUCACUGGGCGUAAAGGGCGCGUAGGCGGGAUAGUAAGUCAGAGGUGAAAUCCUAGGGAGUAACCAUAGAACUGCAGUUGACACUGUUAGUCUUGAGUAUGGGAGAGGUAGGUGGAAUUCUUGGUGUAGCGGUAAAAUCCGUAGAUAUCAAGAGGAAUACUCAUUGCGAAGGCGACCUGCUAGAACAUAACUGACGCUGAGGCGCGAAAGCGUGGGGAGCAAACAGGAUUAGAUACCCUAGUAGUC
This 440-nucleotide ribosomal RNA is filed under the name uncultured bacterium. RNAcentral describes it as "partial 16S ribosomal RNA". It matches the Rfam family "Bacterial small subunit ribosomal RNA", at positions 338 to 795 of the family's 1533-position model. The record is from RNAcentral.